GCGAAGCCUGAUCCAGCCAUGCCGCGUGUGUGAAGAAGGUCUUCGGAUUGUAAAGCACUUUAAGUUGGGAGGAAGGGCAGUAAGUUAAUACCUUGCUGUUUUGACGUUACCGACAGAAUAAGCACCGGCUAACUCUGUGCCAGCAGCCGCGGUAAUACGA
This 160-nucleotide ribosomal RNA is filed under the name uncultured Pseudomonas sp. RNAcentral describes it as "partial 16S ribosomal RNA". It matches the Rfam family "Bacterial small subunit ribosomal RNA", at positions 375 to 528 of the family's 1533-position model. The record is from RNAcentral. Lineage: Bacteria; Pseudomonadati; Pseudomonadota; Gammaproteobacteria; Pseudomonadales; Pseudomonadaceae.